UCAGGCCCUUCACUUCAGUCUGGAGUUCCUGGCAAUGGGAGUCCUGAUGGCUACCAAGCCUCAGUUUCCCCUUGAGUGCCUCAGAGGGGAAGACCGUCAGGCAGUGCCACAGGGACGUGCAUUGAUGACUCGGGCCAGAGAGAGCCUCAGAAGAACGUGGCGCUGGAAUUCUGGUCCCGAUCCUGCCACUGACUCACUUAAGAUUGUCACCAGGCCAGCCCUUUCUCUAAACUUGUUUCUUCUGUUACAUGAAGGGCUCAGACUAGCUGAGAGGUUAAAACUAGAUGCCCAAGAAGGCCAAGCAGGCUUGCCUUGGACUGGAACUUAGACCAUUGACUCUCCUGAUUCUCGGGCCUUCGGACUCAGACUGGAAUUGCAGAUAUGUGGGAAUUUGCAGUGAUCUCAAUAUUUAAAGUGGAAGAAAAGGAUGGGUUUUAUUGAAUGGAUAUUACACCUCAAUAACGUCGAUUAAAAACAAAACGAAAAGCAAAAAACCCAAAAAAACAAAAAAACAAAAAAAAUAAAACAGAGCUUCUGGAAUUAAA
This is a long non-coding RNA of Canis lupus familiaris (dog), 545 nucleotides long. RefSeq lists it as uncharacterized. The transcript has 3 exons. NCBI's taxonomy places the organism in Eukaryota, Metazoa, Chordata, Mammalia, Carnivora, Canidae. The record is from RefSeq and is a predicted model, not a curated record.